This 253-nucleotide ribosomal RNA is filed under the name uncultured bacterium. RNAcentral describes it as "partial 16S ribosomal RNA". It matches the Rfam family "Bacterial small subunit ribosomal RNA", at positions 524 to 776 of the family's 1533-position model. The record is from RNAcentral.
UACGUAGGUGGCGAGCGUUGUCCGGAUUUACUGGGCGUAAAGGGCGUGCAGGCGAUUUGUUAAGUGCAGGGUGAAAGCUCCCGGCUCAACUGGGAGAGGUCCUUGCAUACUGGCGAACUCGAGGGAGGCAGAGGAAAGUGGAAUUCCCGGUGUAGUGGUGAUAUGCGUAGAUAUCGGGAGGAACACCUGUGGCGAAGGCGGCUUUCUGGGCCUUACCUGACGCUGAGACGCGAAAGCGUGGGGAGCGAACCGG